RNAcentral lists this long non-coding RNA (548 nucleotides) under Homo sapiens (human). Its description in RNAcentral is "HSALNT0206802". Lineage: Eukaryota; Metazoa; Chordata; Mammalia; Primates; Hominidae. The record is from RNAcentral.
UUCCCAGGAGGCAGGAAUGAGAGGAUGGAGGGCGCAAAGCAGAAGAGGGAGAACGUCCACCCAGAGAGGACAUCCAAGUGGCCGCACCAUGAGCAGCUGGUGCCUGAGCCCGUGGGGACCUUCUGAGAGGCCGUAUCCAUUCUGCCACAGGAACUGGCUGGUCACAUGGAAAAGGCGGAUGUCUGUGUCCAUCACUCUCACCCUCCACCGCCUGAGAGCUGCCCACGGACGGUGACAUGAGAGGGCAGCUAUUCGCACCCCCUCAGCUGGAACUCAGUGACUCAGGCAUGUCUAAGCUCCAAAGGCAGCAGGCGAGAGCCUCAGCCGGCUUAGCCAGGGGCUUGUGGGCUUUCCUGACACCCUGAGAAAGAAAGAACAGGAGAAUGGAUGUCGGUGGACGCGGACAGCAGGACCCGCAGCCGGAGCAAGGCUGGGAAGGAAUGCUGGCAGCAGGCACCUGCCAUACUGUGUCCAACAGAGGAGUGCUCUUUGACAGCUUCGGAGGGUAGUGAUGCCAGUCCUGCUCAGACAGGGAGGACUCGAGGGAG